Molecule: long non-coding RNA, 1716 nt
Filed under: Hordeum vulgare
Lineage: Eukaryota; Viridiplantae; Streptophyta; Magnoliopsida; Poales; Poaceae
Description: long non-coding RNA (HVUL_LNC009459)
Source: RNAcentral
GUAUGCAUAUUACAUGAGAGUUGCCAUAUGUUGAUAAAGUAGUGUCGAAAAAGGGUGAGGAAUACUAAGAAGUCAUAGAGUUAAUUUUCUCAAACGGUUAAAGUUAUUUUUCAAGUACCACAGCUACAUUCAAUGUAAGACUACACAUCAACAUAUGUGAAACUAUUGUAUGUUGAUGAAUAAGUAUGCAGAAUAUUGCUAUACUAUUUUCUUUCAUGCUCACUAGUUACUUCUCAUAAAACUGAAUCUGAAAUUACCUCCUUACUUGGUUUUGAACUACUGGAGAGGUCAUUUUGUAUUGGUCACGUGCAAGCCUUCUAGGUUCUCCUGCAGUACAAGCAGCAAAAACAUGAGCAACGAACCAUCACAUAUACAUUGUCAGACCAUGCAACUCUCUAAUUAUUGUAACUACACAAGUGCAAGCAAUUCCUAUUGUGUAGAACUUGCAUUGUUUAACAAUAUGCAAAAACAAGUAUAUAGCACUGUAAUGUUCACAGAACGACAUGAUUUGGAAACACACUGUUCUCUCCAUUUAACUUGGAUAGCAGCUUGCGUUUUUGCCCGGCUGUAACAGAAAUAGCGUAUUAAAUUAAACGAUACUUUGAGAAGCGUUCACUUAUUUUAUGGUCAUCAUUCCAAGAGUAUUAGUUACCUAUCAACCUCCAUCUUGCCUUUUUCAAUAUAUGGCUCUUGUAGCUGGAGUUGGACAGGCUGCUGGAUCCAUUUCCUGUCAAGAUUUGGGUAUUAUCAAAAACUGAAAAAGUGGAAAGUGUAUCAUACUGUGGGAGAAAAUACAGCAGAAAAAGGGACAGGAAAUCACCUCCCUGGAAACUUCUUUUGCUGUUUGAUGGGAUAUUCGUACAAAAUUUAAUUUAUUUUCUCUAUUUCGCUGGAUAAAAGAGACAAAAAGUAAUAUUGCACAUGAGUCAUACUGAUCGUGAAUCAUAAACCAGGCUAUGAAAAGAAUUAUAUGUUACAUUUCUCUCUAAAUAAUAAGCUAUCUGAUAUCAUAUUUACUGGGAGUGGAAUACAAAGAACGAGAAUUUCUGUGUAGGCGGUGCCAAUUGAUAAACUUUAAUUUGUCUUGGUGUUUGCGCAGAGAUUGUUCUUUCCGGAGUUAGCUUCAUAGAAGCCAAGAAGAUAAUUAUUCUGGUGAUUUAUUUUUAUUAUACCCGGUAGUUAUCUUGUAGGAUAUUUACAAAAAAAAACUAUGGAAGAUGAAAAAAAAGAUAGAUAAAGUAUAGGACUAAAAAUAAUAUAAUGAAUGAUACUUUUAGAGAUAUCCCCUAUGAUGAGGCAUUGUAUUGGAAAAGACUUCUCAUCAUUUACAAUGUGUACCAAAAUUAUUUGUUACAACAUACUCCCUCCGUCCCAAAAUAAAUGUCUUAAGCUUAGUAUAACUUUGUACUAGAGCUAGUACAAAGUUGAGAUAGUUAUUUUGGGAUAGAGGGAGUAUUUAUCAAGAGACAAUCACUUAUAACUGAUAUUACAAAAAAAAAUACCACAUGAAUCAGUCAACAUCAAACUCAUCACCCAAACUUCACUUCUUGUACUAAUUAAGAUCGAAAUAUAUUGUCCAGAAAACAUAUACCAUAUAGGCUAUACAGUUUGCAGCAAAAAAUGCUAGAAUGUAAAUGGAGGUAUACCUAUAAGUUUAUAACCUGUUACUCUGCCCAAUAUCUUGCCACUUCCUCUUUGUGUGUUGUCCUCUGANNN